This 437-nucleotide ribosomal RNA is filed under the name uncultured bacterium. RNAcentral describes it as "bacterial SSU rRNA". It matches the Rfam family "Bacterial small subunit ribosomal RNA", at positions 342 to 796 of the family's 1533-position model. The record is from RNAcentral.
UCGGAGGCAGCAGUAAGGAAUAUUGCACAAUGGGCGAAAGCCUGAUGCAGCAACGCCGCGUGAGUGAUGACGGCCUUCGGGUUGUAAAGCUCUGUCUUCGGGGACGAUAAUGACGGUACCCGAGGAGGAAGCCACGGCUAACUACGUGCCAGCAGCCGCGGUAAUACGUAGGUGGCAAGCGUUGUCCGGAUUUACUGGGCGUAAAGGGAGCGUAGGCGGAUUUUUAAGUGGGAUGUGAAAUACCCGGGCUUAACCUGGGUGCUGCAUUCCAAACUGGAAGUCUAGAGUGCAGGAGGGGAAAGUGGAAUUCAUAGUGUAGCGGUGAAAUGCGUAGAGAUUAUGAAGAACACCAGUGGCGAAGGCGACUUUCUGGACUGUAACUGACGCUAAGGCUCGAAAGCGUGGGGAGCAAACAGGAUUAGAUACCCCCGUAGUCC